RNA transcript from Zea mays, 4665 nucleotides. RefSeq lists it as uncharacterized. The transcript is spliced from 4 exons. Lineage: Eukaryota; Viridiplantae; Streptophyta; Magnoliopsida; Poales; Poaceae. The record is from RefSeq and is a predicted model, not a curated record.
AUUUUUUCUGAAUCCUUUGUUUCAGGGUCUAAGAGAAAGGUUUUCACAUUGCAACUCAAACAUGGAUGCAAUCCAGGAAAUGGGUCAGAUACUGGACAGACUGAUUCUUGGUUUGAGUUGAAGGUUACUGAAAGUUAUCUAAUCUAGAUAGUUCAGAUAACUCAUUUUAGCCAUCCAAGGGAUCUCCUAGCCAUAGUUGGCUUCUUAAUACACAUGUCUCGUUUUUUAGCCAUAGUUCACAUGGUAUGUUCAUUUCAUAGUAAUCUUUAGGUUUUUUUAGAGAUCCUUUUUGGGAUACCCAAAAUACUUUUCAAUUGUAAGUUGAAAGCUCAAAAUUUUCAAUGAAGGAAAAAAUACACUUUGCAUCAGUCUGCUAUUUGACAAAGUUGAAUAUUUGUUUUAAAAAAGAAUUUAGUGACAAACAUCUUUGUUAUUGGUAUGAAUAAUAACAAAACACUUUUCAAUUUUAAUUAUAUCUUCCAAAAGUUUAAUGAAAAGUAAUAUAUAUUAUGUUUCUUUUAAUUUUCAAUUAAAUUAUAUGCACAGGAUAUUUUUUCUGAAUCCUUUGUUUCAGGGUCUAAGAGAAAGGUUUUCACAUUGCAACUCAAACAUGGAUGCAAUCCAGGAAAUGGGUCAGAUACUGGACAGACUGAUUCUUGGUUUGAGUUGAAGGUUACUGAAAGUUAUCUAAUCUAGAUAGUUCAGAUAACUCAUUUUAGCCAUCCAAGGGAUCUCCUAGCCAUAGUUGGCUUCUUAAUACACAUGUCUCGUUUUUUAGCCAUAGUUCACAUGGUAUGUUCAUUUCAUAGUAAUCUUUAGGUUUUUUUAGAGAUCCUUUUUGGGAUACCCAAAACACUUUUCAAUUGUAAGUUGAAAGCUCAAAAUUUUCAAUGAAGGAAAAAAUACACUUUGCAUCAGUCUGCUAUUUGACAAAGUUGAAUAUUUGUUUUAAAAAAGAAUUUAGUGACAAACAUCUUUGUUAUUGGUAUGAAUAAUAACAAAACACUUUUCAAUUUUAAUUAUAUCUUCCAAAAGUUUAAUGAAAAGUAAUAUAUAUUAUGUUUCUUUUAAUUUUCAAUUAAAUUAUAUGCACAGGAUUCUACCUGUGGUCCAUCUCUAGCAAAAGUUAUCUCUACUACUCAUUAAAGGGAAGGGGAGAUGCGGGAGCGGGGGCGAGGUAUAGAGGACUUUGAUCUAUACCACGGCCUCCGCUCAACGCCAGGUAAAUGUAUUGGUGGGCCUUCUUCAGCAUCCUCAUUUGGUUUCUGUGUCUCGUGAAAAAUGACUUGGAUUCCAACAUCACAAGAAGGUUUGUGUAACAGCUCUCCUUACUACUGGGCAAUCCCUAUUAAGCGUGGUUUAUUUAUGCGGGAACCUGGGACCUGAGUGCAUUAUUUAUGCCAUGCUUCUAUUCCAUCGUUUACUGAUGUUUGAUCCUGUUAACCAGGUAGUACCAAUAUUUUUGUAUUGAAAUUGAAGUAUCAAUUUUAUGGUGCCUUUCUUAAGAUUAUGCACCCCAGCUCUCUCCGUAGUGUUUUUCAGUCCUCAACAUGUACUUAGCAGUGGUAACACAUCACAAUCCAAAUGUUUCUUCACAAUGGAGUAGUUCUGAAUUUUUUAGCAUGUUUGAUGGGAUGAUGAAAUGAGGAAAAACUGUCUACUAUACUGUAUACCAAGAUCCUCACCUUUUAAAUGGCUUGUAGGUCUGUCACCAAGAGCAGGAGUUCAAUUCUGCAUUUUGCUGCAUUUUAGAUGGCCUGUAAGUCCUAAUUCACCAUGCACAGGUCUAAGACCACAAAUUCAGUCAUAUGCUGCAUUUUGCAUUCUUGAUAUCUAGCACUAUCUGAAAUCAUUAUUUACCUAGCAUAGGCUGAUUUUGCUAUUCUUCUUAGGAAGGUACUAACUUUUUAAACUCAUCACUGUCGUCGUUGUCGCGCACAAGAAGUUUUCGCUCUCCUGCCCAGGCCGAGGCAUCGAGCGCGUCACUGUCUUCCUCGACCUCUACAACUAGGGAUCUACGUGAGUACCACUGCUCCCCCAUAGCACCCCACCGCAGAUGUGAUUUUCUGCUUGUGUAUUCUGUCGAUCUGUCUCUUUUUUUGGGAGAUUCGAACGCACCAUCAGUAGCUUGGACCUGAGUCAGGCGCCUUCAGUGACGCGAGAUUUCCUUCUUAAACUUUAGCAGAAGUACUUAGUUUACCGUUAUAUAUUCAAAAAUUAAUCUUCUCAAGAAAGGUAGGGGACUGAUUGUGUCUUCGAUUGAGACAGACCCACAAACAUGACAAUGGAGCUGUUUUGAACAAUCUGUGUCCAUAACCAUACCAUUUAGAGAUACACAGUAAUUCUCAUGUAGAUGAACUCAUGACCCAAGAUGCAAAUAUUUGCCAUUCAAGUGCACACAAGACCAUCAAAUAAAAACCGUGCUAAAAACACAAUAGGCAAUAGAGAAGUCCAUGUGUUUAUUUAAUUCCCCAAGCUAGAAUAUUCAUCAUCUGUAUGAAUUGAUUACUAAGAAACAUUAGGGGAAAAAGUAUACAGUUUUGAUAGAAAGUCGUUGCGCCUGCGCCGCCGGCUUCGACGAUCUACCGAACCUCCCCGAGCUUGGUCCCUAGGUUUGGAGAUGAUACUUUCUUUGUAUGCUAAUUUUCUCAAAGAUUUUUCUUCUCUUCUGUGUCUGCAACAAAGGUGUGGAGAGGUAUGAACAUGAAUCUGUAACACUAUUUUCUUUCCGGUGCUUAAUUUUUUAAUGCUUUGUACAAUUAUUGUGUGCAUUGCAAUCUUGUUAAUAUAUAUCUUUAGUCAUCAUGAUUUUCAAUGUCUGUAUUUAUUCAGCAUACAUUUUUUGUUACGUCUGUGUAAAAACAAUGAAGGAUCAUAUGUACUUUCUAUUUCUUUCUACAGGAUCAAGCUUACUUCCCAUAUCUAACAUUGUUCUCCAUCAACUGGAAGGGAAAUCCAACAAAGGUCAUUUUUAUGUUAUUGCAGACCAUUCCAUUGAAAUAUAUAAAUCCAGCUUUCUUGUUUAUUUAUAGCAUAUUUACCAUAUUUAUGUGAAUGGUGGGGGAGGCCCCUACAUGUAUUUCUAGCAAUCAAGCAGUUUCCUAAUUUUGCAUCUAUGUUUUUUUAUCAUUUUUAACUAAUUUUAUUCCCAUUUAUAUCUUGCUUAUACAACAUCCAAUUUUCUUUUCUAGAACUAGAAUAGAUUGAUGUGAAGGGGAAAUAAUAGAAGGAGAAGCUUGACCUGUAUAUUCAGGGUAAUUACAACUUUUGUUGUUUUCCCUGAUGAGAAUAAUCUUAUUAUUUUUCCCUGAUGAGAAUAUGCUUAUUAUUUUUGGUUAAAAGGGAGUACCAUUGAAGAUUUGUCCUCAUGUUAAAUAUAUCCCCUUUCUGUUUAUUGAGUCUAAUUUGUUAUACUAUACAAUCAUAAGUCAUUUGAACUAAUAAUUCAAAGGGAACUCUCAAGGAGGAUGUUUUCCUGUAGAGGUGUAGAUGCUUCUACUGGCCAUGUCGGGGUAAGUACUAUUGAACUUUUAGCUUAAGUGCCUCCAUGUGUUUAAAUCAUCUUUGCCUUAAUCCCUGUUAAGAGUAAUAUCUGUUCUAUUUGAAACUGAGAGUCACUACCGGUGAACCAUCUAUGUAUGUUAUCCUACAUUCUCUAUGAUAUUUUUGGUGAUUUUCCUCAGUAGCUCAUGGUGCGGUUUGUUUACUACUGCAUAAUCAUAGUCGGAUGAACUUUUGGACAAUAUGAGUCAUACUACUCUUACUCUGUCUGGUUUGUACUGCGUUCUGACAUUGUAUCGAUGUCCUUGAUCAAAAGCUCAAUAUAGUCCCAUUGAGCUGACAUGCCCAUAUAUUUUCCAUAUACUCCAAACAUGUGGUCGUUUUGGUGCUUCAUUAUUUCUACCCCAUACCGCCAGUUUAAGGUUCCUCCCAAAUGUUUUUUAAGGGAACCAGUCUCUAGAAUAAAUAGUGUGUUUCUGGGUGGCCAAUAAAAAGCACAAGUUCUCUAAUACACUCUCCAUUCUUCCAUGUUGUUUGGUAUAAUUAACAAGUCUCCUCAGCUGUGUUAUGGUCGAUAUGGAAAUACAUAUAAGGAGCUUUUGUCAAUGAUUGUAGAUUUGGAAGUGCUAUUUUGUUUAUUUUCUACACAACUUUAUUUGGUGGUCUGCAGCUUUAUAUGGCUACAUUAGGCAAUUGUUUUGAAAUAGAUGAAUGGGACCCAAUAGAGUUCUCCAUCAGGGCAAAACAUUUUGGCCAGUAAGGGAAACCACCAUAUGCCUACAGUGUUGUAAGGAUGUACACACUUGUCUAUGAUUCAUGCUUACCAUUUAGAAAUACAUAUGUUUUUAGAAGGAAGCAUCCAAAUUCAUGUCUGUUUUGGAUAUAUUCUUGCUGCAUGAUAUGCAAGUUUGAUGCAUGCUUUCUCUGUGUUUUUGUUUCAGCAUAUCUGACACACCUCUUCCAAGGGCAGCUCGAUGGAACCGAUUGAAUGCAAGAUGUAUUGUUGGUAGCAUGCAUCAACACAACUAGAAUUUCACUAGAUCUUGUAUAAGUAGGUUCUAAUUUUUUGGCCGUUCGCAUAAUAAUUUCUGAAAAAAACAUGACAUAAUUCUAUCAGAACAUUUACGAUGUUCUUUUAUUGUUGAAUAAAACACUGAAUGCUAA